Molecule: ribosomal RNA, 253 nt
Filed under: uncultured bacterium
Lineage: Bacteria
Description: partial 16S ribosomal RNA
Rfam family: Bacterial small subunit ribosomal RNA
Source: RNAcentral
UACGGAGGGUGCAAGCGUUAUCCGGAUUCACUGGGCUUAAAGGGUGCGUAGGUGGGCAAGUAAGUCAGUGGUGAAAUCUCCGGGCUUAACCCGGAAACUGCCAUUGAUACUAUUUGUCUUGAAUACUGUGGAGGUCAGCGGAAUAUGUCAUGUAGCGGUGAAAUGCUUAGAUAUGACAUAGAACACCAAUUGCGAAGGCAGCGGGCUAGACAAAUAUUGACGCUGAGGCGCGAAAGCGUGGGGAGCAAACAGG